AUACGUAGGGGGCGAGCGUUGUCCGGAAUGAUUGGGCGUAAAGGGCGCGUAGGCGGCCCCUUAAGUCUGGAGUGAAAGUCCUGUUUUUAAGAUGGGAAUUGCUUUGGAUACUGUGUGGCUUGAGUGCAGGAGAGGUAAGUGGAAUUCCCAGUGUAGCGGUGAAAUGCGUAGAGAUUGGGAGGAACACCAGUGGCGAAGGCGACUUACUGGACUGUAACUGACGCUGAGGCGCGAAAGUGUGGGGAGCAAACAGGAUUAGAUACCCUGGUAGUCCACACUGUAAACGAUGAAUGCUAGGUGUAGGGGGUAUCGACCCCUUCUGUGCCGCAGUAAACACAAUAAGCAUUCCGCCUGGGGAGUACGGCCGCAAGGUUGAAACUCAAAGGAAUUGACGGGG
RNAcentral lists this ribosomal RNA (397 nucleotides) under uncultured bacterium. Its description in RNAcentral is "partial 16S ribosomal RNA". It matches the Rfam family "Bacterial small subunit ribosomal RNA", at positions 523 to 918 of the family's 1533-position model. The record is from RNAcentral.